UACGUUCCCGGACCUUGCACACACCGCCCAUCAAGCCAUGGAAGCUGGGUGUACCUAAAGUCGGUAACCGCAAGGAGCCGCCUAGGGUAAAACUAGUGACUGGGGCU
RNAcentral lists this ribosomal RNA (107 nucleotides) under uncultured bacterium. RNAcentral's name for it is "partial 16S ribosomal RNA". It matches the Rfam family "Bacterial small subunit ribosomal RNA", at positions 1367 to 1482 of the family's 1533-position model. The record is from RNAcentral.